RNAcentral lists this ribosomal RNA (459 nucleotides) under uncultured bacterium. Its description in RNAcentral is "partial 16S ribosomal RNA". It matches the Rfam family "Bacterial small subunit ribosomal RNA", at positions 338 to 795 of the family's 1533-position model. The record is from RNAcentral.
CCUACGGGAGGCAGCAGUGAGGAAUAUUGGUCAAUGGACGGAAGUCUGAACCAGCCAUGCCGCGUGCAGGAAGACGGCUCUAUGAGUUGUAAACUGCUUUUGUACAAGGGUAAACCUGAAUACGUGUAUUCAGCUGCACGUACUGUACGAAUAAGGAUCGGCUAACUCCGUGCCAGCAGCCGCGGUAAUACGGAGGAUCCAAGCGUUAUCCGGAUUUAUUGGGUUUAAAGGGUGCGUAGGCGGAUGUUUAAGUCAGCGGUAAAAUGGCCGGGCUCAACCCGGGCCGGCCGUUGAAACUGGGGAUCUGGAGUGGGCGAGAAGUAGGCGGAAUGCGUGGUGUAGCGGUGAAAUGCAUAGAUAUCACGCAGAACUCCGAUUGCGAAGGCAGCAUACCGGAGCCCGACUGACGCUGAGGCACGAAAGCGUGGGGAGCGAACAGGAUUAGAUACCCUUGUAGUC